ACUGCUCAGUAACACGUGGAUAACCUGCCAUUGGGUCCGGCAUAACCCCGGGAAACUGGGGAUAAUUCCGGAUAACGCACAUAUGCUGGAAUGCUUUUUGCGUAAAAUGGAUUCGUCUGCCCAAGGAUGGGUCUGCGGCCUAUCAGGUAGUAGUGGGUGUAAUGUACCUACUAGCCUACGACGGGUACGGGUUGUGAGAGCAAGAGCCCGGAGAUGGAUUCUGAGACAUGAAUCCAGGCCCUACGGGGCGCAGCAGGCGCGAAAACUUUACAAUGCGGGAAACCGUGAUAAGGGGACACCGAGUGCCAGCAUCCUAUGCUGGCUGUCCGGGUGUGUAAAAUACACCUGUUAGCAAGGGCCGGGCAAGACCGGUGCCAGCCGCCGCGGUAACACCGGCGGCCCGAGUGGUGAUCGUGAUUAUUGGGUCUAAAGGGUCCGUAGCCGGUUUGGUCAGUCCUCCGGGAAAUCUGACAGCUUAACUGUUAGGCUUUCGGAGGAUACUGCCAGACUUGGAACCGGGAGAGGUAAGAGGUACUACAGGGGUAGGAGUGAAAUCUUGUAAUCCCUGUGGGACCACCUGUGGCGAAGGCGUCUUACCAGAACGGGUUCGACGGUGAGGGACGAAAGCUGGGGGCACGAACCGGAUUAGAUACCCGGGUAGUCCCAGCCGUAAACGAUGCUCGCUAGGUGUCAGGCAUGGCGCGACCGUGUCUGGUGCCGCAGGGAAGCCGUGAAGCGAGCCACCUGGGAAGUACGGCCGCAAGGCUGAAACUUAAAGGAAUUGGCGGGGGAGCA
Molecule: ribosomal RNA, 795 nt
Filed under: uncultured archaeon
Lineage: Archaea
Description: bacterial SSU rRNA
Rfam family: Archaeal small subunit ribosomal RNA
Source: RNAcentral